GCCUGGGUGGCUCAGUCGGUUGAGUGUCCGACUUCGGCUCAGGUCAUGAUCUCACAGUCUGUGGGUUCGAGCCCCGUGUCAGGCU
Molecule: transfer RNA, 85 nt
Filed under: Felis catus (domestic cat)
Lineage: Eukaryota; Metazoa; Chordata; Mammalia; Carnivora; Felidae
Also listed under: 1 other name
Rfam family: tRNA
About the family: Transfer RNA (tRNA) molecules are approximately 80 nucleotides in length. Their secondary structure includes four short double-helical elements and three loops (D, anti-codon, and T loops).
Source: Rfam by way of RNAcentral